This 468-nucleotide ribosomal RNA is filed under the name uncultured bacterium. Its description in RNAcentral is "partial 16S ribosomal RNA". It matches the Rfam family "Bacterial small subunit ribosomal RNA", at positions 28 to 507 of the family's 1533-position model. The record is from RNAcentral.
GACGAACGCUGGCGGCGUGCUUAACACAUGCAAGUCGAACGGAAAGGCCCUGCUUUUGUGGGGUGCUCGAGUGGCGAACGGGUGAGUAACACGUGAGUAACCUGCCCUUGACUUUGGGAUAACUUCAGGAAACUGGGGCUAAUACCGGAUAGGAGCUCCUGCUGCAUGGUGGGGGUUGGAAAGUUUCGGCGGUUGGGGAUGGACUCGCGGCUUAUCAGCUUGUUGGUGGGGUAGUGGCUUACCAAGGCUUUGACGGGUAGCCGGCCUGAGAGGGUAACCGGCCACAUUGGGCCUGAGGUACGGCCCAGACUCCUACGGGAGGCAGCAGUGGGGAAUAUUGCACAAUGGGCGGAAGCCUAAUGCAGCAACGCCGCGUGCGGGAUGGCGGCCUUCGGGUUGUAAACCAAUUUCGCCUGUGACGAAGCGUGAGUGACGGUAAUGGGUAAAGAAGCACCGGCUAACUACGUG